AAUUUGGCUAUUGUUGAUAAUGUUAUGAACAUAGGGGUGCACAUACCCCUUCAAAUCUGUAUUUUUGUAUAUUUUGGGUAAAUACCUAAUAGUGUAAUUGCUGGAUCAUAGGGUAGUUCUAUUUUUAGUUUUUUGAGGAACCUCCAUACUGUUCUCUAAAGGGGCUACACCGAUGUGCAUUCCCACCAACAGUGCAAGAGGGUUCCUCUUUCUCCACAUCCUUGCCAACGCUUUUUGUUUCUUGUGUUGUUAAUUUUAGCCAUUCUGACAGGUGUGAGAGGACAAUUUUUAAAAAUUACCUCAGAAAAAUGCAGGCAGCAACAAGAAUGUAAUAAACAGUUACAUGCAAUAUUUUUUAACUUUUAUGACUCAAAUCCAUUCAGAUAUUUAUUCGACAAUUACUGAUGAGGUCCCUGCUAAAUUCUAGAAUGUAAAGUUAGUAAACACACAUAGCUUUUGUCUUUAUCAGAGUUGCAGUCUAGUAUUAACUUUAUUCUAAUUUUCAUUAUGAUUUUUCUUAAUCUUUUGAUUGUUUAAUAAAUUAUGUUUAUGACUUUUCCCAAAUCUAUUUUCUUGUAAUAUUUGUUUUUACUUAUUCCAAAUAUAAUUGCAUUGAACAAAUAGAAUAUGGUUUGAAGUAUACUGACUGAAAUUUACUGAAAAUCUUUUUAUGGUAUGAUAUGUGGUCAGCUUUCAUCAAUGUUCCACGUAUGCUUGAAAAGAAUAUGUUCUCUGAUCAUAAUGUGUGCAGGGCUUAAUUUGUCCCCAUUACAUAAAUUAUUAAUUGUGUUUGUUCAAAUAUUCUUUAUUCCCAUGAUUAUAAUAGUUUGCUUUAUCUAUUAAUUGUGUAGAAGGUGUGUUAAAAUUCCCCCCAAUUAUGGUGCAUUUGUCAACUUCCCCUUGCAACUUCGUUAACUUUUUGGCUUUGUAUGUUAUGAGGCCAUGUUAAUAGCUACAUACAGGUUUAUAAUUUUUAUAUCAUUCUGACUAAUUGAACUAGUCAAACUCUAGGUGACUGCAGCAUUGGCUGACAGCAAGACUGAAACCUCCUGUGAGACCCUGAACUCCUGUGAGAUGCUGAACUACUCAGUGCAUGCUGAUGAAGAACCACGAGGGCUGUUUCCACCGCCUCUGUAUCUUCAAGAAGACUGGGUCAAUCCUGUUCAUCAGGGCAAUUCCUGGAGCUGGUCUCUACAGGUAUCAAGAGCAAUAAAUCUCCUCUAAGUACUACAUUGGCAGCAUCCCUGUAGACUCUCGUAAUUUUUUCUGUUGCAUCUUAAAUGUCUCCCCAACCAAAAGUUUAUUUAAGAAGAAUUUACUCUCCUGAAUGCAAUAGGAAAAAGAGCUGAAAAAGAGGUACAACUAGAGGAAGGAAAUGGCAUACGAUAAAAUGAUCAGUUGUUGAUAUUAUGAUGUUACACCCAAGAUAAUCAAAUGAAAAUUAGUCAACACUUAGUUAAAGUGAAGAGAUGUAAAAUAAAUAUUACCAAAAUGAUUCCUUUCUUCCUUUGUACUAAGAAUUAGAAAACAAAACAGUAGGCAGACCCCAUACACGAUAACAACUAUAAAAAUAAAUCAUCCUAAAAUUCGUUUACCAAUAAAUAUGCAGAAAGUAUAUGAAAACUACAAAAUUUACUACGAGUUAUAAAAAGACAAUGGGGCACCUGGGUGGCUUAGUUGGUUAAGCUUCCUACUUCAGCUCGGGUCAUGAUCUCACAGCUUGUGAGUUUGAGCCCCACGUUGGGGUCUGUGCUGACAGCUCAGAGCCUGGAGCUUGCUUUGGAUUCUGUGUGGAGACACAGACACUCUCUCUGCCCCUUCCCUGCUUGUGCUCUGUUUCUCUCUCAAAAAAAUAAUAAACAUCAAAAAAAUAAAAAUAAAAAGACAAGAAAAUAAGUAGACAUAUCAUGCUCAUGCAUGAAAAGACUCAAUGUUGUAAAGAUGUGUAUCUUUUCCUGUUAGUUUAUAUGCUUAGUGUAAUGUCAGUCAGAAUCUCAAUGGAACAGUUUGGAAAAUAUGCCCAAAUGAUUCUGAAACUCAUCUGGGGAAAUAAAUGGCAAUAAUUUGUCCUACUUCUCUUCCUGGUGGGGGUGGAGGUCUGGGCUGGGUGAGGAGUGGAGAUGGGAGGAAGGUGAGGUGGUGGUCUAGGUGUAGAGGACCAGCCAUCACCGGGGUUGUCUUGAGGCCCACUUGAAAAAUGGACAAGGACAACUCCUGGACAAGAUUUUGGGCACUUCCCACUGAGAAAUGAGUGCAUUUUGGUCAUUCAACAAAUAUUCCUUGAACAUCAGGCGUGAUUCUAGGAACCAGGGAUGGAGCAGUGGGCAAAACAAAGUCCCGCCCUUGGGAAAACUUAGGUUUUAUUUGGACAAGGGUGACAGUCGACUUGGGUUUCGCUGGAUGAUUCUUCAGCCUUAUAAGGGAGACCUGGAAACACCUACCAAGAUCCUAAUGGACUAAAUUAAAGAUUCUU
Panthera uncia (snow leopard) is the source of this 2473-nucleotide long non-coding RNA. RefSeq lists it as uncharacterized. The transcript has 3 exons. NCBI's taxonomy places the organism in Eukaryota, Metazoa, Chordata, Mammalia, Carnivora, Felidae. The record is from RefSeq and is a predicted model, not a curated record.